This 469-nucleotide ribosomal RNA is filed under the name uncultured bacterium. RNAcentral's name for it is "partial 16S ribosomal RNA". It matches the Rfam family "Bacterial small subunit ribosomal RNA", at positions 27 to 507 of the family's 1533-position model. The record is from RNAcentral.
GGAUGAACGCUGGCGGCGUGCUUAACACAUGCAAGUCGAACGGAAAGGCCCUGCUUUUGUGAGGUGCUCGAGUGGCGAACGGGUGAGUAACACGUGAGUAACCUGCCCUUGACUUUGGGAUAACUUCAGGAAACUGGGGCUAAUACCGGAUAGGAGCUCCUGCUGCAUGGUGGGGGUUGGAAAGUUUCGGCGGUUGGGGAUGGACUCGCGGCUUAUCAGCUUGUUGGUGGGGUAGUGGCUUACCAAGGCUUUGACGGGUAGCCGGCCUGAGAGGGUGACCGGCCACAUUGGGACUGAGAUACGGCCCAGACUCCUACGGGAGGCAGCAGUGGGGAAUAUUGCACAAUGGGCGGAAGCCUGAUGCAGCAACGCCGCGUGCGGGAUGACGGCCUUCGGGUUGUAAACCGCCUUCGCCUGUGACGAAGCGUGAGUGACGGUAAUGGGUAAAGAAGCACCGGCUAACUACGUG